This 482-nucleotide ribosomal RNA is filed under the name uncultured bacterium. Its description in RNAcentral is "partial 16S ribosomal RNA". It matches the Rfam family "Bacterial small subunit ribosomal RNA", at positions 30 to 507 of the family's 1533-position model. The record is from RNAcentral.
AUUGAACGCUGGCGGCAUGCCUUACACAUGCAAGUCGAACGGUAACGGGCCUUCGGGUGCCGACGAGUGGCGAGCGGGUGCGUAAUACAACGGAACGUGCCCGAUCGUGGUGGGUAACGGAGCGAAAGCUUUGCUAAUACCGCAUACGAUCUACGGUUUAAAACAGGGUACCGCAAUGCUUUGCGCGGGCUGUGCUGCCGAUGGCAGAUUAGGUAGUUGGUGGGAUAAAAGCUUACCAAGCCGACGAUCUGUAGCUGGUCUGAGAGGAUGAUCAGCCACACUGGGACUGAGACACGGCCCAGACUCCUACGGGAGGCAGCAGUGGGGAAUUUUGGACAAUGGGCGCAAGCCUGAUCCAGCCAUGCCGCGUGCAGGAUGAAGGCCUUCGGGUUGUAAACUGCUUUUGUACGGAACGAAAAGCCUUCUUUUAAUACAGGAGGGUCAUGACGGUACCGUAAGAAUAAGCACCGGCUAACUACGUG